CAGUCGCCGCGGGAAUACGUAGGGUGCAAGCGUUAAUCGGAAUUACUGGGCGUAAAGCGUGCGCAGGCGGUUAUAUAAGACAGAUGUGAAAUCCCAGGGCUCAACCUGGGAACUGCAUUUGUGACUGUAUAGCUAGAGUACGGCAGAGGGGGAUGGAAUUCAGCGUGUAGCAGUGAAAUGCGUAGAUAUGCGGAGGAACACCGAUGGCGAAGGCAAUCCCCUGGGCCUGUACUGACGCUCAUGCACGAAAGCAUGGGGAGCAAACAGGAUUAGAUACCCGUGUAGUCCCUGUCUCUUAUAC
RNAcentral lists this ribosomal RNA (301 nucleotides) under uncultured bacterium. RNAcentral's name for it is "partial 16S ribosomal RNA". It matches the Rfam family "Bacterial small subunit ribosomal RNA", at positions 509 to 807 of the family's 1533-position model. The record is from RNAcentral.